This is a long non-coding RNA of Neofelis nebulosa (Clouded leopard), 1936 nucleotides long. RefSeq lists it as uncharacterized. The transcript has 4 exons. The record is from RefSeq and is a predicted model, not a curated record. NCBI's taxonomy places the organism in Eukaryota, Metazoa, Chordata, Mammalia, Carnivora, Felidae.
AGCAGCCCACCCACACCAACGCACGGCUCCUCACCUGCGGGGCCCUGCAGCGUCAGGCCUCCGGAGGGGGCUGCGAGUGUCUGUCCGACCUCCGCACGUGUCCACAGCGGCGCCAAGCAGGUAAUACUUGAAUCUCCGCUGCACACAUGGCCUAACAAUUGUGUUGGCAUAACUGCCUUUGGUUGAGCUGAAAGUUUACUUAUUUUGAGAGAGAGAAAGCACAAGCAGCAGAGGGGCACAGAGGAGCAAAGACAGAAUCCCAAGCAAGCUCUGCACCAUCAGGACAGAGCCCGAUGUGGGGCUCAAACCCAUGAACCAUGAGAUCACCACCUGAGCUGAGAUGAAGAGUUGGACAGUUAAUGACUGCGCCACCCAGGAACCCCUCAGUAUAGGUGCUGCCAAAGGGAGCAUGGUCCUAUUCUCUUUUUAAUUCCCUGCCAUCGGAUUUCUGCCCCCACCCUACUGCUGUCACCAAGGUGGGUAAGAACAUUGAGUUACCACUCCAUGGACACUAUCCUACUAGCCUCUCUUCUCCAUUUGCCACUAACUGUUACUAUCUCCAGACGGAAAGUCUUCUUCUCUUCUGAGUUCUGCCUCACUUCCUCUCCUGGUCAUCCUCAUGUAUCCUUCUAAGUGUUUUGCCUCUUCCCUUAUUUUUUUGUCCCUCGGUCCAGCCCUUAGAAGUUGGGGUUCCCUAGGGUUUCUUUCUCACUUGUUUCUUCUCCUUCCGCUAGUCCCCUUCACCCUUAGGCAAUCUCAUGCUUUGGCUUGAUUUCUCCUCCAUCAGUAGAUCUGUAUCUCCAACUACUCAAAGGAAUUCCCUUUGAAGCACCUAAAAAUUCAACAUCUGGUGAAGAAUUGAAAUGACACUAUCCCUACAAUUUGUUCACAGAAAUGUCUUCUCCCUUUCUCCCUAGCUCAGCCAAAAAAAAACCCUGUCAUUCUCCCAGAGUGAACUGUGACCUUCCUCUAAAUUCCUUACUUCCUUUCAGUUCUACCUCUUGAGAAACCUUCUCCUGCCCCUUCAUUUUUCAUUCCACUGCUUCAGUCUAGAUCAGAGCUCAUCACCUCACACCUGGAAGGUCACAUCCAGGUGACCUUAGUCAUAUUUAUACAGCUUUUCCUUAGUCAUAUUUAUACAACUAGAUCUGAUCACGUCACUACCAGGAUCAAAAACUUUCUUCAAUUUCCAUCUGCCUACAGGAUAUACUUUAGCCCAACCUCCUUUGUGCAGCAUAAGAUUCCCUUCAGAAUAUAGCCAAGUCUGAUUUUCUAAUUACUCUCUGGUCUUCCACUGCCAUAUGCCUUUACACACUCCAGAAUGUUCCUCAUUUGUGCCUUCAUACUUAAGAUCAAGGUGCUCCUUUUCCCUAGAAUGCUCAUGUUUCUUCUCUCCUCUUCUGUCUGGCAAAUCUCGAUUCUACUUUUAUGUGGAGUUGCAGUGUCACCUCCUUUCUAUUACACUCAUCUUUGCUGACUGCAGCCUCCACCCCAUUCCCACUGCUGUCACAAAACUAAUUCUUAUGUUGGGGUUCCAUAGCAUUUUAUGUCUGCUUCCACUUAAAGUCCUUCCCUCAUUGUCUUAUAGCUAUUUUUCUGUUACUCUCUCUCCCCUACUGGGCUACUAGCUCUUCUAAAGCCAUGUUCACCUUUCCUGCUAUGCCAAAGAUGCUCACCUUGUCCUCAAGAUGAAACAGAAAGCCUUAGCUGAGUGCCUCAGGCAGCAUUAGUGGUCCUCUGUCCUGCCACAAUUUUCUAUUCAUGUACUCUAUUACAGCACUAUUAUAUUGAAAUUGUACGUGUACUUUCCAUUUCUUCCAUUAGACUGAGAGUAUGUCAAAGCAAGGACCUCAUCUUAUUCAUCAUUGCCAUCCAAAUGGUUAGCACAGUGCCCAGAACACAAUAGGUACCAAAUAAAUGUUUGUUAAAUCAUCUG